Molecule: ribosomal RNA, 468 nt
Filed under: uncultured bacterium
Lineage: Bacteria
Description: partial 16S ribosomal RNA
Rfam family: Bacterial small subunit ribosomal RNA
Source: RNAcentral
GACGAACGCUGGCGGCGUGCUUAACACAUGCAAGUCGAACGGAAAGGCCCUGCUUUUGUGGGGUGCUCGAGUGGCGAACGGGUGAGUAACACGUGAGUAACCUGCCCUUGACUUUGGGAUAACUUCAGGAAACUGGGGCUAAUACCGGAUAGGAGCUCCUGCUGCAUGGUGGGGGUUGGAAAGUUUCGGCGGUUGGGGAUGGACUCGCGGCUUAUCAGCUUGUUGGUGGGGUAGUGGCUUACCAAGGCUUUGACGGGUAGCCGGCCUGAGAGGGUGACCGGCCACAUUGGGACUGAGGUGCGGCCCAGACUCCUACGGGAGGCAGCAGUGGGGAAUAUUGCACAAUGGGCGGAAGCCUGAUGCAGCAACGCCGCGUGCGGGAUGACGGCCUUCGGGUUGUAAACCGCUUUCGCCUGUGACGAAGCGUGAGUGACGGUAAUGGGUAAAGAAGCACCGGCUAACUACGUG